RNAcentral lists this ribosomal RNA (478 nucleotides) under uncultured bacterium. RNAcentral describes it as "partial 16S ribosomal RNA". It matches the Rfam family "Bacterial small subunit ribosomal RNA", at positions 28 to 523 of the family's 1533-position model. The record is from RNAcentral.
GACGAACGCUGGCGGCGUGCUUAACACAUGCAAGUCGAGCGAUGAAGUUCCUUCGGGAACGGAUUAGCGGCGGACGGGUGAGUAACACGUGGGUAACCUGCCUCAUAGAGGGGAAUAGCCUUUCGAAAGGAAGAUUAGUACCGCAUAAGAUUGUAGUAUCGCAUGAUACAGCAAUUAAAGGAGUAAUCCGCUAUGAGAUGGACCCGCGUCGCAUUAGCUAGUUGGUGAGGUAACGGCUCGCCAAGGCGACGAUGCGUAGCCGACCUGAGAGGGUGAUCGGCCACAUUGGGACUGGUACACGGCCCAGACUCCUACGGGAGGCAGCAGUGGGGAAUAUUGCACAAUGGGGGAAACCCUGAUGCAGCAACGCCGCGUGAGUGAUGACGGUCUUCGGAUUGUAAAGCUCUGUCUUCAGGGACGAUAAUGACGGUACCUGAGGAGGAAGCCACGGCUAACUACGUGCCAGCAGCCGCCGUAA